This 696-nucleotide ribosomal RNA is filed under the name uncultured bacterium. RNAcentral's name for it is "bacterial SSU rRNA". It matches the Rfam family "Bacterial small subunit ribosomal RNA", at positions 505 to 1201 of the family's 1533-position model. The record is from RNAcentral.
GUGCCAGCCGCCGCGGUAAUACGGAGGGUGCAAGCGUUAAUCGGAAUUACUGGGCGUAAAGCGCACGCAGGCGGUCUGUCAAGUCGGAUGUGAAAUCCCCGGGCUCAACCUGGGAACUGCAUUCGAAACUGGCAGGCUAGAGUCUUGUAGAGGGGGGUAGAAUUCCAGGUGUAGCGGUGAAAUGCGUAGAGAUCUGGAGGAAUACCGGUGGCGAAGGCGGCCCCCUGGACAAAGACUGACGCUCAGGUGCGAAAGCGUGGGGAGCAAACAGGAUUAGAUACCCUGGUAGUCCACGCCGUAAACGAUGUCGACUUGGAGGUUGUGCCCUUGAGGCGUGGCUUCCGGAGCUAACGCGUUAAGUCGACCGCCUGGGGAGUACGGCCGCAAGGUUAAAACUCAAAUGAAUUGACGGGGGCCCGCACAAGCGGUGGAGCAUGUGGUUUAAUUCGAUGCAACGCGAAGAACCUUACCUACUCUUGACAUCCAGAGAACUUAGCAGAGAUGCUUUGGUGCCUUCGGGAACUCUGAGACAGGUGCUGCAUGGCUGUCGUCAGCUCGUGUUGUGAAAUGUUGGGUUAAGUCCCGCAACGAGCGCAACCCUUAUCCUUUGUUGCCAGCGGUUCGGCCGGGAACUCANAGGAGACUGCCAGUGAUAAACUGGAGGAAGGUGGGGAUGACGUCAAGUCAUCAUGGCCC